AUGGAGGCUGUGGUCACUCUCUCCUUGAGGCACAGGUUCCCAGCCGCCGCCCUUGGUGGGGCUGCCUGCAGGCCUGCCGUGGGGCCCAGACAGCUGCAGCCGCAGCACCCCAAAUCAAGAAAUUUGCCAUCUAUCAAUGGGACCGAGACAAGACUGGAGACAAACCUCAUAUGCAAACUUAUGAGAUUGAUUUGAAUAACUGUGGUCUGAUGGUGCUGGAUGUUUUAAUCAAGAUUAAGAAUGAAAUUGAUUCCACCCUGACCUUCCGGAGAUCAUGCAGAGAAGGCAUCUGCGGUUCCUGUGCCAUGAACAUCAACAGAGGCAACUCUCUUGCAUGCACCCACAGGAUCAACACCAGCCUCAGCAAAGUUUCCAAAAUCUACCCUCUGCCACAUAUGUAUGUGAUAAAGGAUCUUGUUCCUGAUUUGAGCAACUUCUAUGCUCAGUACAAGUCCAUCGAGCCUUACUUAAAGAAGAAGGAUGAGUCCCAGGGAGGCAAGGAGCCGUAUCUGAAAUCCAUAGAAGACCAUGAGAAACUGGACAGGCUCUAUGAGUGUAUUCUCUGUGCCUGCUGCAGCACCAGCUGCCCAAGCUACUGGUGGAACGGAGAUGAGUACCUGGGCCCCACAGUCCUCAUGCAGGCCUAUCGCUGGAUGACUGACUCCAGAGACGAUUUCACAGCAGAGCGCCUGGCUAAGCUGCAGGACCCCUUCUCUCUGUACCGCUGCCACACCAUCAUGAACUGCACGUGGACCCACCCCAAGGGGCUAAAUCCUGGGAAAGCUAUUGCUGAAAUCAAGAAGAUGAUGGCAACCUAUAAAGAGAAGCAGGCUUCUGCUUAACUGCCACGCUCAA
RNA transcript from Capra hircus (goat), 855 nucleotides. It is a transcript of the gene named succinate dehydrogenase [ubiquinone] iron-sulfur subunit, mitochondrial pseudogene, with no coding region annotated. The transcript has a single exon. NCBI's taxonomy places the organism in Eukaryota, Metazoa, Chordata, Mammalia, Artiodactyla, Bovidae. The record is from RefSeq and is a predicted model, not a curated record.